UUUCCGUAGGUGAACCUGCGGAAGGAUCAUUAAUGAGUUGUCAUGGGGUUCGAUGCUGGCAGCCAAUUUUUGGAUGCAUGUGCUUGCCCUAACAAUCAUCUUCCAAACACCUGUGCACAUUUUUGAGGGAGUCUUGAGUUGGUUGCCGCUCUUGGGUGAUUUUCUCACAUUCCCUUAAAUCAUUACACGCUAUUAACAAUGUAGAACAUGCUCUGUGCCGCAAGGCUAUUAAUAUAAUACAACUUUUAACAACGGAUCUCUUGGCUCUC
Molecule: unclassified non-coding RNA, 269 nt
Filed under: plant metagenome
Description: partial contains small subunit ribosomal RNA, internal transcribed spacer 1, and 5.8S ribosomal RNA
Source: RNAcentral